This 500-nucleotide ribosomal RNA is filed under the name uncultured bacterium. Its description in RNAcentral is "partial 16S ribosomal RNA". It matches the Rfam family "Bacterial small subunit ribosomal RNA", at positions 32 to 507 of the family's 1533-position model. The record is from RNAcentral.
AAUCAACGCUGGCGGCGUGCCUAACACAUGCAAGUCGAACGCGAAAGCCCCGCAAGGGGUAAGUAGAGUGGCAAACGGGUGAGUAACACGUGGGUGACCUGCCUUCGAGUGGGGGAUAACGUCCCGAAAGGGACGCUAAUACCGCAUGACAUCCUGCUUUUGAAAAAGCGGAGAUCAAAGCUGGGGAUCGCAAGACCUAGCGCUUGAAGAGGGGCCCGCGCCUGAUUAGCUAGUUGGUGAGGUAACGGCUCACCAAGGCGACGAUCAGUAUCCGGCCUGAGAGGGCGGACGGACACACUGGGACUGAGACACGGCCCAGGCUCCUACGGGAGGCAGCAGUGGGGAAUUGUUCGCAAUGGGCGCAAGCCUGACGACGCAACGCCGCGUGGAGGACGAAGAUCUUCGGGUCGUAAACUCCUGUCGAGCGGGACGAACGCUUCGCGGAUGAAUAAUCCGCGGAAUUGACGGUACCGCUAAAGGAAGCCCCGGCUAACUCCGUG